Molecule: RNA transcript, 767 nt
Organism: Oryza sativa Japonica Group (Japanese rice)
Lineage: Eukaryota; Viridiplantae; Streptophyta; Magnoliopsida; Poales; Poaceae
Gene name: protein NONRESPONDING TO OXYLIPINS 2, mitochondrial
Source: RefSeq, a predicted model, not a curated record
CUCCUCCAAUGAAACCAAAAGGGUAUCGUUCUUCCCGUGCCGCCGCCGCCGCCGCCGCUUCAUCCCGACGCCGAAAGCCCGAAACCUAAACACCUCCUCUUCCUCGCACGCCCAUCUCCGGAUUCCAACCAAAUCUCCGGGAUGGCCUCGACCUGCUUCCGCGCCGCCGCCCGCAUGGCCUCCUCCGCCUGCCGCUCGGCGGCCUCCCGCUCAAUCCCCUCCGCCGCGCGGCGCGGCGCCCCUCGCAUCUCCAGGCUGCCGGUGGAGCUCGGGUGCAGCGCGGGGUUGUCGCUGCUGCCGCUGCACAGCGCGGUGGCGGCGGCGAGGCUGACGUCGCGGCUGAGCACGGCGUCGCGGAGCUGCUGCGCGCUCUCUCAGGGUACCCUCUGUCGCACCUAUCCCGGACUUUAACAUCAAUCAAUACCAUCGAUGAGAUGCACUUGCCUGUCUUUUCCGUUUGGAGAUGGGUCAGUCUGUCCCAAGGUGAUAAAUGCUGGAAGACCUGCUCAUGUCGUGCUAUCAGACAAUUGAUUUUGUAGAGUGAACUAAAUUGGUUUCUGUGUUGCCUGAUUUUACCCCUCCUAGAACUGUGGUUCUGUUGGACCUUUCAAAGUUUUUGAGAUAAUGCCCCUUGAUAUCAUUUGUUAAAAACAAUCAAGGACAUAAUGCAAAAGCCCGAGCUGUAUUUCUUAGUUACAAUUCUGGGUGUCUUUCCUGUGAUAAUAAUGAUAAAUGAGAUGCAAUUUACAAGUACUCAAUUGUUGCUA